UUCGGUCUAGUGGCGCACGGGUGCGUAACGCGUGGGAAUCUGCCCUUAGGUACGGAAUAACAGUGAGAAAUUACUGCUAAUACCGUAUGAUGUCGAGAGACCAAAGAUUUAUCGCCUAGGGAUGAGCCCGCGUAGGAUUAGCUAGUUGGUGGGGUAAAGGCCUACCAAGGCUACGAUCCUUAGCUGGUCUGAGAGGAUGAUCAGCCACACUGGGACUGAGACACGGCCCAGACUCCUACGGGAGGCAGCAGUGGGGAAUAUUGGACAAUGGGCGAAAGCCUGAUCCAGCAAUGCCGCGUGAGUGAAGAAGGCCUUCGGGUUGUAAAGCUCUUUUACCCGGGAAGAUAAUGACUGUACCGGGAGAAUAAGCUCCGGCUAACUCCGUGCCAGCAGCCGCGGUAAUACGGAGGGAGCUAGCGUUGUUCGGAAUUACUGGGCGUAAAGCGUACGUAGGCGGCUUUGUAAGUCAGAGGUGAAAGCCCACGACUCAAUCGUGGAACUGCCUUUGAGACUGCUUCGCUUGAAGAUGGGAGAGGUUAGUGGAAUUCCGAGUGUAGAGGUGAAAUUCGUAGAUAUUCGGAAGAACACCAGUGGCGAAGGCGGCUAACUGGACCAUUCUUGACGCUGAGGUACGAAAGCGUGGGGAGCAAACAGGA
RNAcentral lists this ribosomal RNA (656 nucleotides) under uncultured bacterium. RNAcentral describes it as "bacterial SSU rRNA". It matches the Rfam family "Bacterial small subunit ribosomal RNA", at positions 86 to 777 of the family's 1533-position model. The record is from RNAcentral.